AGUGAACGCUGGCGGUAGGCCUAACACAUGCAAGGCGAACGGCAGCACAGUAAGAGCUUGCUCUUACGGGUGGCGAGUGGCGGACGGGUGAGGAAUACAUCGGAAUCUACUUUUUCGUGGGGGAUAACGUAGGGAAACUUACGCUAAUACCGCAUACGACCUACGGGUGAAAGCAGGGGAUCUUCGGACCUUGCGCGAUUGAAUGAGCCGAUGUCGGAUUAGCUAGUUGGCGGGGUAAAGGCCCACCAAGGCGACGAUCCGUAGCUGGUCUGAGAGGAUGAUCAGCCACACUGGAACUGAGACACGGUCCAGACUCCUACGGGAGGCAGCAGUGGGGAAUAUUGGACAAUGGGCGCAAGCCUGAUCCAGCCAUACCGCGUGGGUGAAGAAGGCCUUCGGGUUGUAAAGCCCUUUUGUUGGGAAAGAAAAGCAGCAGGUUAAUACCCCGCUGUUCUGACGGUACCCAAAGAAUAAGCACCGGCUAACUUCGUG
This 492-nucleotide ribosomal RNA is filed under the name uncultured bacterium. RNAcentral's name for it is "partial 16S ribosomal RNA". It matches the Rfam family "Bacterial small subunit ribosomal RNA", at positions 29 to 507 of the family's 1533-position model. The record is from RNAcentral.